GCCACCUGAGCUCCUGGCCGGCCCCGCCCCGUUCUGACCACGCCCAGCCACGCCCCCAACCGCCCUCCCGGCCAUGGUCCCGCCCCCUACCAGGCUCCGCCUCCACAAGGUCCGGCCUUGACCCUUCACCUUGACCCAUCGCGGCAGCCUCAGCCCAGACCACGCCUACCUGGCUCCACCCUUCUCCAUGACCACGCCCCCGCCACGACUCCGCCAGGCCUGACCCUGCCCUAAUGGAGCCAGGUCCUUGGUCCGUUCCUGAACCUCUCCGCCCAGAGCGGGCCUGGCGUCCAGUGACCUCUCACCAUCAAAGAGAGUGAAGAAAGCCUCUCUCUCGUCCCUGAUGUCCAGACGGGCAGAAUGGCUCCUCCCAGCUGGGCUGAAUGCUGCUACCUCUGUGGCCCAAAGCAUCCUGGGCUGGUCCACAUGAGCUCCUCAAGGGCGGAGGUUGUGUCCUUUCUGGAUCUGUACCCCAGGGGGACACAGGGCCUGGGCUGAGCGGCCACUCGGUAGUGUGUGGAGAGUGGAUGGAUGGGUGUCUGCAGAGGU
Leopardus geoffroyi (Geoffroy's cat) is the source of this 549-nucleotide long non-coding RNA. RefSeq lists it as uncharacterized. The record is from RefSeq and is a predicted model, not a curated record. Lineage: Eukaryota; Metazoa; Chordata; Mammalia; Carnivora; Felidae. The transcript has 2 exons.